AAGAGCACGACAUUGCUCACAUUGCUUCCAGUAUUAGUUGCCCGCGUCUCGCGGGCUUUUUUU
RNAcentral lists this non-coding RNA (63 nucleotides) under Candidatus Pantoea symbiotica. Lineage: Bacteria; Pseudomonadati; Pseudomonadota; Gammaproteobacteria; Enterobacterales; Erwiniaceae. The record is from RNAcentral. RNAcentral also lists the same sequence under 1 other name.